CAUCAAUAAUGCACUCCAAAAUAGAUGAAGAAAACCGAAGUAGUCCCAAUAACAACCAGUGCAGUAAUACAACUUCUAUAAUCUGAUAUCCAUAUCACCGAGUUCCCAUGAUCAAACCAAGAUUUAUAACAGUAAUAAAUAUAGUUACCUCCGGCCAAUGAAUAUCUUGUACGGAUGAACCAUGGUUAAUAAAUAAGAUUAGACCAUAAGAAUAAUAAGAAAACCGAGAUAAUAGAAUCCAAGAUGUGAAGCUAUACUAAAUUUCCGAGAAGAAAAACCACAUUGAAUGAUAAAGAGAUCGAUGAUAUCCCAGAGAAAAUCCAAAAGAAUAUCCCAGAGAAAAUCCAAAAGAAGAAUAUCACUUGUACGUACUAGGAAUAGUUGUGAUAAAGACAAUAUAAAUUCCAUAUAUAUAAUUCGGAGCUUCAACCAGUAGAAAUAGAAAAUGGCUUCAUAUGAGUCUUAUCAUCAAAUCUUCCAUCGAACAUAAUAGAUUACAAAACCAAAGAAAGAUAGAGGAAUCCCGAUCAUGAAUCAACCAGACUAAUAAUAAUUUCGUCUAACAAUAUGAUUAGCCAACCUUGCUAUAUGAUAAGAAUCAUAUCUGAAAAUAAAUAAUUGCAUAUACCUCUGAGGAUAAAAGAGCAUAUAGAAUACCCAUAUAGAAUACCCAGAAGAAAUCGUUGUAAGAUACCCGACUAUAACAACUGCAUUCAGAUAUGGUUGCAAUUUUCAACACAAUCCCACUGAUUACUAAAGUCAUCAAUAAUCUCGCAUUAUCCCAAUCAUUAAAGAAAUCAAUUCAGAAGAAAUUUCGAUUAACCUGCUCUUUAAAUUUUAUACCUGAAUAAGUCGAUUACUCGUGAAUAGCUUUUUCAUUAAUAGCGACAUUGCGAAUCCCAAAUAAUCAUUUAAAAAUUUGAUAUCUUUUCUGGAACCCUCUUUACUUGCUAUCCCAUCCACAACUCUGACUGCAUUAUUA
RNAcentral lists this long non-coding RNA (982 nucleotides) under Gossypium raimondii (Peruvian cotton). RNAcentral describes it as "long non-coding RNA (GRAI_LNC000127)". Lineage: Eukaryota; Viridiplantae; Streptophyta; Magnoliopsida; Malvales; Malvaceae. The record is from RNAcentral.